This 342-nucleotide unclassified non-coding RNA is filed under the name uncultured fungus. RNAcentral describes it as "partial contains 5.8S ribosomal RNA and internal transcribed spacer 2". The stretch from base 1 to 133 matches the Rfam family "5.8S ribosomal RNA", at positions 22 to 154 of the family's 154-position model. The record is from RNAcentral. Lineage: Eukaryota; Fungi.
UGGCUCCGGCCUCGAUGAAGAACGCAGCGAAAUGCGAUAAGUAAUGUGAAUUGCAGAAUCCAGUGAAUCAUCGAAUCUUUGAACGCACAUUGCGCCCCCCGGCAUUCCGGGGGGCAUGCCCGUCCGAGCGUCAUUGCACCCCGUCAAGCCUUCGGCUUGGUGUUGGGCCGCGCCCCUUCCGUGCUCACGGGGGGGGCGGGCCCCAAAGGUAGUGGCGGUCCGGGGGCGACCACCAGCGCGAUGGCACACCUCCACGCUGGGCGCGAGUCGCGUCGGAUCGGCGCCAGGCAACCCCGAUGCAGCAUCCAGGUUGACCUCGGAUCGGGCAGGGAUACCCGCUGA